This is a long non-coding RNA of Zingiber officinale, 4827 nucleotides long. RefSeq lists it as uncharacterized. NCBI's taxonomy places the organism in Eukaryota, Viridiplantae, Streptophyta, Magnoliopsida, Zingiberales, Zingiberaceae. The record is from RefSeq and is a predicted model, not a curated record. The transcript has 4 exons.
GGAAGAUUUGCAAACACGCGAAAAUGGAAAUUAAAUUAUUAAAAAGCGAUAAAGCAAAAUUUUCAAAUAAAUAACGCCUAAACAUUUUAGAAACUCUGACAACGCGAGUCACUUUGGCCGUCUAAGUAACGCAGCAGCCAAGUGCCGUCUGAAGCUAUCGCCGCACCACCACCGCCGGCCCUGUUCUCCCGUCCUCUUCCAGCAACCGUUGUCUCCCCCUUUAGUCCUCCUCAGCCACCGAAUUGAAAAGGCGAUUGGAAGCCGCGUUCUGUCUAUUUCUGUCUCGCCAUGGCUUCAGAUAGCUUAGCUUUGUCAGGUCUACAAAUUUGGACUCCUGGACUUCUGAGCAACUUAAGACAAUGGUUUUUGGAGGCAACAACUGGGCGCAAGUUUUCUUUAAGCAGCAUGGGUGGACAGAUGGUGGCUAAACUGAGGCAAAAUGCCCCAAGGACAAUUUGAAUGAUGAGAAGCCCAAGCCUGAAACUACACAUUCACCUGAAGCUCCUAUCCGUUCUACCGUCUUAUCCUCUAUCAAGAAACCCAUUGGUACGAAGAAGACCGGAGGGAAGACUGGUGGGCUUGGUGUAAAGAACCUUACAACAAAGCUCUGCAGGAAUCUUUGAAGGAGCAAAGGAAGUUACGACAGACCCUUUUACAAAUACAAGAAGAAUUGAUCCAUAGCAGGCCUUUAACUUUCUCGGAAGCAAAAGAUUUAUUAACAAAGCAGCCAAGCCAUAUCGAGGAGCAGGCAAAGGAGCUAGGGAAACAAAUCAAGAAGGUAGAAGAAAUUAUGCAGGAGGUAAAAAGGCAAGUGUCAUGAACUUUCCUCCAACAUCAAAAUCAAAAGAAUAUGAUGAGGCACUAGCAAAUACAGAGGAAAUUAGUUCUCCUGCUAUUGGUUUCAUUAUUGCAAAAGACGCUACAAACAAAGACAUAAAUAGGCAAAACAAUACAAUAAUUGAUCUUUUGAUAAAAAUAAAUUAUAAAUUAGAUCAAUUACUUGUAAAACCUAUUUCUAGCAGUACUGAGCAGGUGUAAGAUCUUGCAAAGCAAUUGGAAGGUCUUACUAUAAAGACAAAGACAACAAAAAAGGAACCCUUCUACGUAUAUCAAGACCCUCUGAAGAUAUACAAGGAAGAAAAAUGCUAAGUCUUUAACGCUUUUUACUGCAAAAUACCAAGACCCUCUCCAUAAUACCUGGUAUAGGUAUUUUACUGCAAAAUGCUAAGUCUUUAACGCUUUUUUGUAUAGCAGCCCUUUUACAGAUUUCCGCUAAGUAUUGAUAUGUGAAAUGACUUCUAGGUAUGACACCAACCUGAUUAGCGGGAUAUUUGGCUUUAAAUGCUGCUUCUAUUUCAUUCCCAAUAAUAGGGGGCAUUUUCCUGAAUAAUUUAUAUGAUAAUUCUGGACUGAUGAACAUCCUUCCUGACUUUGCUGCCAAUAUCUUGUAAUCAUUCAAAUAAUUAAAUAUAUCUUUCAUACUAUUGCAUGUUAAUCGUUCAAUAUCGAUAUAAGUCUGAUCUUGCUGGUAAGGGUCUUCCAAUAAGAAGGAUCUUCUUAUUGCAGAUAAAAUGUUUUGUGUUUCUCUGGCCAUCUGUAUGAGGGCCUCAUAUUCUGUGGCGUAUGCCAUACGCCACUGAAUCCACAUUUUCUUUUCAUUUUCUCCUAAAAGGUUUUCAAUAAAUUGUACCUUUUGAGAAUUGUCCAGCCAGGUCUUUUGAUUUACAGAUUGUUGGUUAUUGAUUCCCAUCUGGAGAUGACUUCUGAAUAUUGACCAAUAUAUUCUGGUAGUAUUAGAAUGGCUCCAUCAUUAGUUUGAGCUGAUCCAUGGCCGGUGAUUAUGCCCUCUUGGUUUAAACUUCCCAUUGAUAAUUGGCGCUUCUGCUUGCUCUAUUCUUGAAUUCACCUGUGCAGGGGGAUAAUUAACUUGUCCCAUAAGAGGUUCUUGAGGAGGGUUGUACCUGGAAAUUGCGCUGGUACUAGAAAAUGUCUUUUCUCCAGUUGCUUGUUGUACCAUACUGCGUAAUAUAGGAUAGUCCAAUGAUUACAGAUGUUCUAUCAAUGAGUCCGUCCCACGUGUGCAGCUUCUUCCAUAUGCUUCAACCAUUCAUUUGGUUCUUCUUUAUUUACUGAGGAUGAAGACUCUACUUCCUGAAUAGCUAAUUCCUGUAUCCCUUCAGUAAUUUUUUCUGUAUUAGCAAUUUGCUCUUCUAAUUGCUCUACUUGCUCUACCACCUGCUGCCAGUAUUCUUCUGCGCCUGGGUCAUUGUUGUCCCAAUAAGGGGGCAAUUGUUGAUUAUUUUCAUCCUGUAACACAGAGUUAAGAGAAAGAGAAGGAUAAUCAUUCUCCAAAUCUUCCAAACCUAAAAAGUAGGCUUCCCUUUCCUCUUCUUCUUCUUGGUCAUAGCUUGGUUCAGCCGGUAAGUCUUCUAGUUCCAAGAAUGGAUCUUCCUCCCAUGGUGUAUCUUCCCAGAUACUUGGAAAUACAGCUUCAUUUUCUUCAUCACCCCAGCCGGGUGGAGGAGGAAGUUCUAUAUCUGAAAAAUUUUUUGGGAUGUCAUAAUUAACAUAAUAGUCAAACUUACCACUUGGUUGUCCAAGGGUAUCCCAUCGUCCAGUAUUAUAUUUGGAUUUUUUUUUUAUUCUUUUUGGGAAUGUCUUCAUGGAACAGUGGUAGAAUAUAUUCACUUCUGAGCAUUCCUACGAAUUCUUCUUCUCCUUCAUUCUGGAUUUCUUCAAUAUCAAUAUUACUGAGUCUUUUUGGCUAAGAAUUUUUUGUUGCAUGUAACCCUGAAAUGAUAAUGAGAUAGAACCAUCUAGUAAGGUUGCAGUUCUGACCUCUCGAGGGUUACGAAUUUGUAAAGUUGUCGAUGGCUGGAGGAUCCAUCUCAUGCCUUGUCGUUCUGAAAUUGUUCUGGGAGUUGCUGAUACUGCAUGAAUUCCCGUACUAGCCAAGUAAUCUGCUACAUUUUGUACAUUAUAUCGAAAACCAGCAUGGCUAGUAUUGGUUAAUCUCCCAAUUAAUCCCCGUGUUAUUAAUAAAUUUGAUUCAGCAGUAUUUCAAUCUUCAUAACCAUGUAUUUGUACAACUAAUUCAAUAUGAUGAUAAAAAUCUUCCACACUUAUCAUCAUGUUUGGUGCAAUAUAAACUAAUUGCGUACCUCCAGAAAGGUCAACCUCCAUUGUCCCAAUAAUUGAUCUAUCGUCCCUCCAUCUGGUGUCUCUGAGGACAACUAGAGCGUUUACACCUGCAUUUCUUCGAUGCAAAGCAUGUAUUCUGAUCAUUACUAAUCUCAGAUGGAUUAAUUGCAUACCUUCUUGCCUCAGAAUUGAAUAGCUAGCUUGAUUAAUUAGAGAUAGAUUCUGUUGUCCUCCAAUAACCAGAAUUCUUGUUUCAGAAUAAUGUUGAUUUACCCGAUGUCUUGGUUCAGACCAAUUAGUUGAAUAAAGGGUCUCUGCUGGUACUAGUGAAGCCCUUCGUCUUUGUGAUAAUUCUAAUUCAGCUUCAGGAUUCAGCUGGCUCUCUAGAGUUCUUGAGCCAUUUCUUGCAUUACUAAACCUCCUUUGUGUUUCAUACCGAAAUCUUGCCAUCCUUCUAUAACUCCUUAUCUGAUCUUCCUGUGAAGAUGUUACUGGCUCAAGUGUUUCAGUUGUACUUCUUUCAAUAAUAGCAGGUCUAUUUCUUGUCGCCAUUUAACUUUUCUUUUUCUUCCUUGUAUAUCUUCAGAGGGUCUUAGAAGGGUUCCUUUUUUGCUGCCUUUGUCUUUAUAGUAAGCCCUUCCAAUUGCUUUGCAAGAUCUAACACCUGCUCAGUACUGCUAGAAACAGGUUUUACAAGUAGUUGAUCUAAUUUAUAAUUGAUUUUUAUCAAAAGAUCAAUUAUUGUAUUGCCUGUUUAUGUCUUUGUUUGUAGCGUCUUUUGCAAUAAUGAAACCAAUAGCAGGAGAACUAAUUUCCUCUGUAUUUGCUAGUGCCUCAUCAUAUUCUUUUGAUUUUGAUGUUGGAGGAAAGUUCAUGACACUUGCCUUUUUACCUCCUGCAUAAUUUCUUCUACCUUCUUGAUUUGUUUCCCUAGCUCCUUUGCCUGCUCCUCGAUAUGGCUUGGCUGCUUUGUUAAUAAAUCUUUUGCUUCCGAGAAAGUUAAAGGCCUGCUAUGGAUCAAUUCUUCUUGUAUUUGUAAAAGGGUCUGUCGUAACUUCCUUUGCUCCUUCAAAGAUUCCUGCAGAGCUUGUGAAAUUUCCAGAUGAUUUUGUUUCAGGAUUUUUAACAAAGUUCUGUAUUCAGAUAUGGAUACUUUUGAGUGUAAUAACAGCCGGUCAUAAAGUACACCAAUAUUAUUGGAAAUGCCUUCAAGAGAAACUUUUGAUUCUAGAUUAAGGUAUUCAAGGUUCACAGUUCGAGAGUUUUGAUAUCAGUUUUUAAUUUCUUUUUCAAACCUUUCAGACAUAAUUCAUUAUGAAGUAAAUUUUCUUUAGUCCCCUACCCUCAAGCUUACUGCAAAGUCUAUGUUCAGGUCUUUGUAGGUACCUUCCCCUUUUGAACGACCUUACUGAAGCACUUCACAGCUCCAUAUGGAGUAUAGACGCUAAAGCAAUUUACAACAUAAAAAAAAAUAUCUUACUUAGUUUAAAAUUUUAAAUAAUAGGCACAUACCUCCCGAAAACUACUUACCAGAAUACCUUUCAAAAAUUUAGUUGAAAUUUAUCAUAAUUGCCAAACCACGCUAUGAUACCAUAGAUAGCAUAGAAAUUUUUACAAGGAUCUCUUGAGUAUAGACCACUAAGGGUUCUUGAACUCAAGAAAGCAAUAUCUUACAAGGGACUUCGC